AUUAUGGAGAGUUUGAUCCUGGCUCAGAGUGAACGCUGGCGGCGUGCCUAACACAUGCAAGUCGAACGAUGAAGUCUAGCUUGCUAGACGGAUUAGUGGCGCACGGGUGAGUAAUGUAUAGCUAACUUGCCCCUUACAAGAGGACAACAGCUAGAAAUGGCUGCUAAUACUCUAUACUCCGCUUUAACAUAAGUUAAGGUGGGAAAGUUUUUCGGUAAGGGAUAGGGCUAUAUUGUAUCAGCUAGUUGGUAAGGUAAU
RNAcentral lists this ribosomal RNA (258 nucleotides) under Campylobacter canadensis. RNAcentral's name for it is "partial 16S ribosomal RNA". It matches the Rfam family "Bacterial small subunit ribosomal RNA", at positions 1 to 261 of the family's 1533-position model. The record is from RNAcentral. Lineage: Bacteria; Pseudomonadati; Campylobacterota; Epsilonproteobacteria; Campylobacterales; Campylobacteraceae.